GAAAAAGUACACAGUGGAGAGUGAGGGAAAGACACGACAUCGGCUCCAAAUACUGUACUCCACUCCGCCUUAUCUUUUCUACAGAGAGAAACAAUGGACAUGCAUUAACUUGUCAUCCUUUCCAGAAAAGUCAUCGCAACAUCUCUUCAAUAACGGUCAUCUCUACUCAAUGUUAUUACCGAGUGAUACUUGAGAAAGAUCGGCGAUGGAAGGUUGUAUUGGUACUAAACUGAAAUCUUGAUUGGGGGGAGAUUAGUGAUCGAAGACAAUGGAUUGUUAUGAUUGGUUGGGGGCAAAUUCAAGAUUCCUAUUUGCAAGAGGUCAGAGGAGGUGAAGAGGUGCCAGAACUGUUCAAAUGUAGGUAGUGUAUGAAAAGGUGAUUCCCAAAUUGUCGUUCAGAUGUAGCGUUCAACAAACCUAUGGUAUCACACAGAGGCAACUCAAUGAGAUGGAAUUGAUUUUUUUUUCACUUUGUGGUUUGCCUAUACCCUAUGUUGCCUUUGGACUUGCUAAUCUAACACUUUGUUGGAUUUGGGCAAACAUUAUAAGGUACAGAGUCACGUCUUCAAAAAAACCUUUUAUCAGAUUAGAGGAUAUGGAUAAGUAUGUUGUUGGAUCUCAAUUGUUACCUAUAGCUUUAGAUAGUUCCUAAUCCAAUGUUAGAAUGGCUUAUUUGGUGAACCUUUAUAUUUUGUUCUUUGUUUCAAAUAUUAUAGUAAACCAUUUAAUAGCUUACCAAAUGUUUGUGACUGCAUUUGUGACUAGGCUUGCGACUGCAUUUGUGACUGAGCCUCAAACUGGGUCUGUGACUGUGUAUGUGACUGGGCCAGAGCCUGUGUUUGAGACUGUGUAUGAGACUGGGCCUCAAACACUGUCUAUGAUUGGGCUUCAAACUGUGUAUGGACCUGAAAAUAACAAGUUGUUUUAGUGUCAUAAACAUAAAAGCUAGUUACGAAAACUUAGAGAUGGGUAAAAAGGGCUGGGGUAACAUGGAAAAUGUGAGACUUUUAUGCAUAAAAUUUUCGUGUUCUCAACUGUCUCAUAUAUACUAGAUGAUGUUGUAAUUGUUUUUAUUUUAUUUUGUGUUCUCUAAUUCCAGGUGUUGUUUGCUGCAACUGCAUUUACACUGUUUUACUAAUUUUUAAUGAUGUAUAGUCUUUUACAGUUUCCUUUGCGUUAUCUUACAUUCGACUUAUCUAUUGCAUGCUACUGACACCACUAUUCAGGUGAGCAUAUUUGUAUUUCCUUUAGGGAAUUAAAAUUUGAUUUGCUUUGCAUGGGUAUUGUAUAUAGUGUGUUGGCUUGUGUAUGUGAUAUAUGUAUGUUCUUUGGUUGUAGUUAGGGCUGGCAAUUUUACACAAAUACACGAAUAUACGAUACGAACCUACACGAAGUUAACAGGUAUCGUGUAUGGCCUUAACAGGUAUCGUGUACCAAACAGGUAGACACGAGAUUACCUGUUAAUUUUCGUGUAUAAACAGGUUAAAUACCUGUUUACCUGUU
Helianthus annuus (common sunflower) is the source of this 1503-nucleotide long non-coding RNA. RefSeq lists it as uncharacterized. NCBI's taxonomy places the organism in Eukaryota, Viridiplantae, Streptophyta, Magnoliopsida, Asterales, Asteraceae. The record is from RefSeq and is a predicted model, not a curated record. The transcript is spliced from 4 exons.